Molecule: ribosomal RNA, 468 nt
Filed under: uncultured bacterium
Lineage: Bacteria
Description: bacterial SSU rRNA
Rfam family: Bacterial small subunit ribosomal RNA
Source: RNAcentral
UUCCAGACUCCUACGGGAGGCAGCCGUGAGGAAUAUUGGUCAAUGGCCGAGCGGCUGAACCAGCCCCUUCUCGUGAGGGCUGCCGGCCCUACGGGUUUUCAAACUCUUUUUUCUGGGAGCAACGCGCGUCACGUGUUUCUCCUUGAGAGUCCCCGCAGAAAAAUCCUCUUCUAACUCCUUGCCCGCAGCCGCGUUCAUACGGAGGCUGCUCUCGUUAUCCGGAGUUAUUGGGUUUAAAGGGGGCGCAGGCGGAGUGGCAAGUCAGUGGGCAAAUUGCGGGGCCAAACCCCGUACUGCCGUUGAAACUGCCUCCCUUGAGUGCGCGAGAAGGAGGCGGAAUGCGUGGUGUAGCGGUGAAAUGCAUAGAUAGACCGCAGAACUCCGAUUGCGAAGGCAGCAUACCGGCGCGCAACUGACGCUCAUGCACGAAAGCGUGGGUAUCGAACAGGAUUAGAUACCCCCGUAGGU